CCUGCCCAAGAGAUCGGGAUAACACCUGGAAACAGAUGCUAAUACCGGAUAACAACAGAUGAUGCCUAUCAACUGUUUAAAAGAUGGUUCUGCUAUCACUCUUGGAUGGACCUGCGGUGCAUUAGCUAGUUGGUAGGGUAACGGCCUACCAAGGCGAUGAUGCAUAGCCGAGUUGAGAGACUGAUCGGCCACAUUGGGACUGAGACACGGCCCAAACUCCUACGGGAGGCAGCAGCA
This 237-nucleotide ribosomal RNA is filed under the name uncultured Lactobacillus sp. RNAcentral's name for it is "partial 16S ribosomal RNA". It matches the Rfam family "Bacterial small subunit ribosomal RNA", at positions 125 to 355 of the family's 1533-position model. The record is from RNAcentral. Lineage: Bacteria; Bacillati; Bacillota; Bacilli; Lactobacillales; Lactobacillaceae.